AUGGGUCGCAGCAAGGGCACCAUGGAAGAAUCUGAUAUUCAGGAUCUCCUAGCUAUGAGAUCCGAGGUCCUUGACAAUCAGAAGGAGACUGAAUCCCUUCGAUCUGACAUGACAGUACUCCAAACUGAGGUACGUACCAUUGGGCAGAAGCAAGAUCUCAUGUCAGUAGCAGUGGAGGAUGUUCAAAAAUCUGUUUCAGAGAUAGGAUUACAGUUAUCAGCGAUGACUGAAGUCUUGAAAUCACUUAGACCAGAUCCACCUGGCAGAAACAGAGAGAAAACAACUGAUACAGGCACUAGUGCACCAGUAAAAUCUCCUACCUUGCUGGAACAAGAGAAUCGUAAUGCUUUGCUUCGAGCACAACUGGAAAAAGAAAAAGAACAAACCAGACGUUGUGAGGAGGUGUUUAUGCAGAGGCUACCCCCAUUAAAUGUCACCAAGCCUCCUGGUUUCGACAAGCAGAGAGAUCAAGAUCAAGUGACAGAAGGUCCAACUCCUUCUGCAGGUACUUCCAGGCAUGUCCACACUCCUGUGUUUAACCAACAUAUUAACAACCGUGAGAGUCAGUUGUGGCAAGGUUAUUACAGAACCUCAGGAAAUGAAAGCACAGUUCAUGAAAUCAAUGACGAAGGGACCUAG
RNAcentral lists this ribosomal RNA (639 nucleotides) under Triticum aestivum (bread wheat). Its description in RNAcentral is "partial small subunit ribosomal RNA". The record is from RNAcentral. Lineage: Eukaryota; Viridiplantae; Streptophyta; Magnoliopsida; Poales; Poaceae.